UACGUAGGGUGCGAGCGUUGUCCGGAUUUAUUGGGCGUAAAGGGCUCGUAGGCGGCCUGUCGCGUCUGCUGUGAAAACUCGGGGCUUAACUCCGGGCCUGCAGUGGGUACGGGCUGACUAGAGUGCGGUAGGGGAGACUGGAAUUCCUGGUGUAGCGGUGAAAUGCGCAGAUAUCAGGAGGAACACCAAUGGCGAAGGCAGCUCGCUGGGACGUGACUGACGCUGAGACGCGAAAGCGUGGGGAGCAAACAGG
Molecule: ribosomal RNA, 253 nt
Filed under: uncultured bacterium
Lineage: Bacteria
Description: partial 16S ribosomal RNA
Rfam family: Bacterial small subunit ribosomal RNA
Source: RNAcentral